This is a long non-coding RNA of Oncorhynchus tshawytscha (Chinook salmon), 990 nucleotides long. RefSeq lists it as uncharacterized. The transcript has 3 exons. Lineage: Eukaryota; Metazoa; Chordata; Actinopteri; Salmoniformes; Salmonidae. The record is from RefSeq and is a predicted model, not a curated record.
GAGCUGGUAGGGGAUGCUGAGAGAUGCAGGUGGUUGAGGGCUGGUAGGUGGAUACGGCAGGAUGAUUAAAGCUGCCACACGUUAGAUGCGCAUGAAAGUGGAUAUUAUUGGACUGGGGUAUCCAAGAGACUAGUUGCUGUUGCUUAAAAUAUGUAAGUGAAUUUAUAAACAAAACUGACUGUAUAAACAGGCACCAGCUGGUUAUUUAGAACUAUAGGGCUGAAGAAUGUGGUAUUGUCAUAUUCAAAAAUGUUGGUAUCAUGACGUUUUUAUACAGUGACAUUACCGUGGUACUGGUAUACCGUGCAACACUAGUAUGUUAUGUCCUAUCAGUUGCUCUCAGUCUUUGCAGUAGUUGUGUAUCCACUCUCCAGGACAGUGAAGAAAACACUUGGUGCCGACACUUUGGAGCAACACUAAAUAACUGCGACUGGGAAUAACACAGUGCUAUUCCUCCUUUAUUUUUUGUUCUCCUCAUGAGGACUCUGAUGGGGAAGAGAAGAGACAACCUAGUGAAGAGGUUGUGUCAGAGGCUGAGCCUGCUACAGAGGACGAGAACAUGUCGGGCUGUUGCAUUGUGACUGAGAGCGACACAGACCUGGAGGUGGAGUACCAGGAGAGGGCUGGAGGCCGGAGAUCUUUAGGGGCAGACAGAGAGGCGGAAGCAGGGGGAGAGGGGGAGGAUAUGAGUCCCUGUCUGACUCCAACACAGUCAACCAGGACGAUAUCUCCUUCAGAAUCCUAGAGGGAGACAGCCUGUUGGAGCCAGAGGGGCCACAGCCUGAGAUGCCCCCGCUGUUCAUCCACCUCACCUGCUCUGUUAACAUGAAGAGCUGCCACGGAUCCAUGCCCAUAACUACGCUUCCCACCUGCCUGGGUGAGGUGAUCAUGUGUCUGGAGAAUGCCCCACAGGCUGUGAAUCUGAAUAAUCUGUCUGUCACACUGGACAUCUUUGUUCUCACCUUACCCCUGGAGAUAGAGGACAUGCAA